UACUACACUUUUGGAAUCGGUCCCUCCCCGCAGAGACGAUCAAAAGGAGCUGAGAUCCAUCUUGACAAAACACCCUCUCAUCUCGCCUCUGAAGGCGAAGCGCACACUGAAUGGACAGAUUAAAUAAACAUUGCAGCCACCUUAGAUACAGACCAGCACUCUUACUACAUAAUUAUUAGGCUGAUGAUUGCACAUCAGUGUUUUUUUGGAUGCUGCAUCUGCCUCCGACGAUGAUGGAAGUUGUUGUGUGUAUCCACAUAUUUUCCCCCGCCUGUCAAAAAUUGCAUUCAGGCAGAGCCUUGGUCCUCUCAUCAAGAGUCAUAAUUUACUUGUCAAAGCAGCAGUCCUCUCGACAUGCUGCAGGCCCCCCGUUGUUAUAAUUGCGAGGCAGUUUGGUUCUCCUAAAAUGCCUCCAGUCAAGAUGCAGCGGCAGGCCCCGCUAGUCAGGCUUUGUGUGGCCUUCUCUUCAAAAGUAACCAUUUACACUGGAAAAUGGUAAAACACGACUAAAGAAAAUCCAUUUGACUUGAUUCACUAUACUUACACCAUCAACUACUCAUGAUCAAAGGCUUUAAGCAGGCAGCAGCUCACAGAAAACCGCACACCGACACAAGGUCCCCAUCUGCUGGAGAGAAGAAGUACUGCUCAUCAGUAGCCAGUUUUCUUACAUCACAUGCGGUGGCUGGCCUGGCUGCUGUCACUGGUUUGGCUGUUUUUCAUGGUGCAGUGUGUUCUGGUUCCCACUGCGACUUCAGGUUAGCACAUGUUAUGAUUCAUCCCCUCCUACAGCAGCACUCAGUGUUAAUGAAAACAAACGCUGUCAGUGGAAAGAAGUGAAUCAGCCCCAUGGAUGGAGCUGUUGACCCAAGCAGAGUUUUCCCCACUACAACAUAUGUAUAUUCAUGUAAAUGCGAUAUGACUUGCUUUUAAACUCCC
Molecule: long non-coding RNA, 936 nt
Filed under: Gouania willdenowi (blunt-snouted clingfish)
Lineage: Eukaryota; Metazoa; Chordata; Actinopteri; Blenniiformes; Gobiesocidae
Description: lncRNA (ENSGWIG00000024994.1)
Source: RNAcentral